RNAcentral lists this ribosomal RNA (520 nucleotides) under uncultured Archaeospora. RNAcentral describes it as "SSU rRNA". It matches the Rfam family "Eukaryotic small subunit ribosomal RNA", at positions 569 to 1091 of the family's 1831-position model. The record is from RNAcentral. Lineage: Eukaryota; Fungi; Glomeromycota; Glomeromycetes; Archaeosporales; Archaeosporaceae.
AGCAGCCGCGGUAAUUCCAGCUCCAAUAGCGUAUAUUAAAGUUGUUGCAGUUAAAAAGCUCGUAGUUGAAUUUUAGGCCUGGCCAGGCGGUCCGUCUUUGGCGAGUACUGUCUUGUUGUCGGGUCUUCCUUCUGGUGAACCAGUAUGCCCUUUAUUGGGUGUGUUGGGGAGCCAGGACCAUUACCUUGAAAAAAUUUAGAGUGUUUAAAGCGGGCUAUUGCUUGAAUAGAUUAGCAUGGAAUAAUAGAAUAGGACGUUGUGGUUCUAUUUUGUUGGUUUCUAGGAUCACCGUAAUGAUUAAUAGGGAUAGUUGGGGGCAUUAGUAUUCAAUUGUCGGAGGUGAAAUUCUUGGAUUUAUUGAAGACUAACUAUUGCGAAAGCAUUUGCCAAGGAUGUUUUCAUUAAUCAAGAACGAAAGUUAGGGGAUCGAAGACGAUCAGAUACCGUCGUAGUCUUAACCAUAAACUAUGCCGACUAGGAAUCGGGCGACGUUAUUUUCAUGACUCGCUCGGCGCCUUAU